RNAcentral lists this microRNA precursor (103 nucleotides) under Marmota monax (woodchuck). The record is from RNAcentral. Lineage: Eukaryota; Metazoa; Chordata; Mammalia; Rodentia; Sciuridae.
AGGGGAAUAGCUGGGUCAAAAGGUGGUUCCAUUCCCAGCUUUCCAAGGAAUCUCCAUACUUCUUUCCAAAUUGGCAGUACCGAUUUGCAGUCCCACCAGCAAU